AGGAGUGGAGCCUGCGGCUUAAUUUGACUCAACACGGGAAACCUCACCAGGCCCAGACACUGGAAGGAUUGACAGAUUGAGAGCUCUUUCUUGAUUCAGUGGGUGGUGGUGCAUGGCCGUUCUUAGUUGGUGGAGCGAUUUGUCUGGUUAAUUCCGAUAACGAACGAGACUCUAGCCUACUAAAUAGACGUUAAACUUUCCAGUAUCUCGAAGGCUCACAUCUCUUGAUUCCUUACUCUAUAGCACCAAUUCACUUCGGUGUUUUGACUCCUUGGGUGGGCAGGAGUUUGUGGUUUUUACUACUGGCGUACAUAUAUAUCUUCUUAGAGGGACAGGCGGCUUCUAGCCGCACGAGAUUGAGCAAUAACAGGUCUGUGAUGCCCUUAGAUGUUCUGGGCCG
This 400-nucleotide ribosomal RNA is filed under the name Abax ovalis. RNAcentral describes it as "SSU rRNA". It matches the Rfam family "Eukaryotic small subunit ribosomal RNA", at positions 1172 to 1489 of the family's 1831-position model. The record is from RNAcentral. Lineage: Eukaryota; Metazoa; Arthropoda; Insecta; Coleoptera; Carabidae.